Molecule: ribosomal RNA, 768 nt
Filed under: Pseudomonas gessardii
Lineage: Bacteria; Pseudomonadati; Pseudomonadota; Gammaproteobacteria; Pseudomonadales; Pseudomonadaceae
Description: bacterial SSU rRNA
Rfam family: Bacterial small subunit ribosomal RNA
Source: RNAcentral
UCCUGGCUCAGAUUGAACGCUGGCGGCAGGCCUAACACAUGCAAGUCGAGCGGUAGAGAGAAGCUUGCCCUUCUCUUGAGAGCGGCGGACGGGUGAGUAAUGCCUAGGAAUCUGCCUGGUAGUGGGGGAUAACGUUCGGAAACGGUCGCUAAUACCGCAUACGUCCUACGGGAGAAAUCAGGGGACCUUCGGGCCUUGCGCUAUCAGAUGAGCCUAGGUCGGAUUAGCUAGUUGGUGGGGUAAUGGCUCACCAAGGCGACGAUCCGUAACUGGUCUGAGAGGAUGAUCAGUCACACUGGAACUGAGACACGGUCCUGACUCCUACGGGAGGCAGCAGUGGGGAAUAUUGGAGAAUGCGCGAAAGCCUGAUCCAGCCGUGCCGCGUGUGUGAAGAAGGUCUUCGGAUUGUAAAGCACUUUAAGUUGGGAGGAAGGGUUGUAGAUUAAUACUCUGCAAAUUUGACGUUACCGACAGAAUAACCACCGGCUAACUCUGUGCCAGCAGCCGCGGUAAUACAGAGGGUGCAAGCGUUAAUCGGAAUUACUGGGCGUAAAGCGCGCGUAGGUGGUUAGUUAAGUUGGAUGUGAAAUCCCCGGGCUCAACCUGGGAACUGCAUUCAAAACUGACUGACUAGAGUAUGGUAGAGGGUGGUGGAAUUUCCUGUGUAGCGGUGAAAUGCGUAGAUAUAGGAAGGAACACCAGUGGCGAAGGCGACCACCUGGACUGAUACUGACACUGAGGUGCGAAAGCGUGGGGAGCAAACAGGAU